This 192-nucleotide ribosomal RNA is filed under the name Triticum aestivum (bread wheat). RNAcentral describes it as "partial small subunit ribosomal RNA". Lineage: Eukaryota; Viridiplantae; Streptophyta; Magnoliopsida; Poales; Poaceae. The record is from RNAcentral.
AUGCUUGAUUGAAGAAAAAAACAUGUUCUCUAUAAUUUGGUCCACUUGCUUAUGAAAUUGGUAUUGAUCUUACCGGUGGUCACCACAAGUGUUAAAAGAGUCUUUUCGGCAAUGAAUUUAGUGAAAAACAAGUUGAGAAAUAGUAUGGGUGAUGAUCUUGUGAACUAUUGCUUACUGGCACUCAUUGAGUGA